RNAcentral lists this ribosomal RNA (254 nucleotides) under Anaerotignum lactatifermentans. RNAcentral describes it as "partial 16S ribosomal RNA". It matches the Rfam family "Bacterial small subunit ribosomal RNA", at positions 524 to 776 of the family's 1533-position model. The record is from RNAcentral. Lineage: Bacteria; Bacillati; Bacillota; Clostridia; Lachnospirales; Anaerotignaceae.
UACGUAGGGGGCAAGCGUUAUCCGGAAUUACUGGGUGUAAAGGGAGCGUAGGCGGCAUGGUAAGUAAGAUGUGAAAGCCCGAGGCUUAACCUCGAGGAUUGCAUUUUAAACUAUCAAGCUAGAGUACAGGAGAGGAAGGCGGAAUUCCUAGUGUAGCGGUGAAAUGCGUAGAUAUUAGGAAGAACACCAGUGGCGAAGGCGGCUUUCUGGACUGAAACUGACGCUGAGGCUCGAAAGCGUGGGGAGCAAACAGG